Molecule: non-coding RNA, 5213 nt
Organism: Rattus norvegicus (Norway rat)
Lineage: Eukaryota; Metazoa; Chordata; Mammalia; Rodentia; Muridae
Source: RefSeq, a predicted model, not a curated record
UCUGCAGCCUCACUUUGAUCCUGCUGCUGAGGCAGGCUAAAGCUCACCUUCACCCUGGACCUGCUCAUGAUACGCAGAUGAGAAUAGCAGCACAUGCCAGAGUUCCCCUGCCAUACUUUCUUAACUUAAAGUAACACGGAAAAAUGAUUUCAUGUUUAACACCAGGCUCUCACAGCAAUAACCUUGCUUCAGUCUAAAUUUCCUUUCAUUAGUAUGUGGUCUCUAUCAAAUCUGUAAAGGCUGACUCAGUCUUCCUUCAAAUAGCAAUCCACCAUUGGUCAAAACAAAGAAAACAACUGAUAUGUGGUACCCAACGCCAGCUGAUACAUCUACAAUACAACUCAACAUCUAAGAUUUCCAACAUUAUGGCAGAGGGAAAGAAAGAAAGAAUGUAACAGUCAGAGGACCAGGACAUCUGCUCCAAGAAAUGUACAUCCAUCAACUCUCAACAAUAUGGUCAUCUAGAUAAUAACUGAACACCAGUGGACAAUCCAAGGUAAAUGAGGGGAAAUCUCACAAGGCUCUACUCCUAGACGAAGAGGUAUAAAAAAUUAAAGGCUUCCAAGAGAAGGAGAAUCAAUCUUUUCUAGGAAUGGUACCCCUAAAGGGUUGUUUAGUCUCAAAUUUUCAAACCUAAUCUAUAGACACAUGAGCAAACUAAAUGGAUUCAUCAGGCUAUUUGUAUGUGUGUGUGGGUUGCUCUCUGUGUGUAGCAAUAAUAGUUCAAAAGGAAGAGAGUGAGUGGAAGGGAGAAUGGGAGAGCAGUUAGAGAUAACACACACACACACACACACUACUUGUGUGCAAGAUUCUAAAAACAAUUUUUAAGAAGUCUUUUAAUUAAAAAAAGGCCUCUGAAAAGUAAGUGUCCAUCAAUACAAUGUCUUGGGCUUUUAUUAAUCUCCUGAUUUUUGUAAAAGAUUUCUGUAUUUUCUUCUUCUUUGUUUUUCUAAGAAACUAAGCUUACUUUAUCCUAAUUUACUUACAAGUGAAAAUAUCACAUAGCAGGCUUAAGAAGGCAUUCAAACACUCGUGUAGUCCAAAAUUCUCUGUGAAUAUACAGUUAGAAUGGGUUUUCCAGGGCAAUACAACUUUACUUGGGUUUUACAUACCUGUUAUCCGUGAUGUAUUUAUUUUCUGUGUUUCUGGGUACUUCAGUAUCCCCCAAAUUCAAUUCAUAUGUUCAUAGUUGAUCAGUGUUGUAGGAUGUCAUGCAGGUACAAGAUAAAAUGAGGCCUGUCAUUGGACGAGAAGGAAGGAUGGGCAGGAGAAAAGUUUUUGACAGAGGAGAAGACUGGAGCAAGUCAGAGGAAGCAGUGGAGAGAACAUGGAGACUGAUGUUGAGAUUCCUCUCUGCAUACUUACAGGUUCUUAUGAAUAUUCUUAAGGGAUGGAUGUGUACAGGGCUUUGUAUGUCUAGGUUGGCAAUUAUAUCUUAUCAAUUAGAGAGGUUAUUUUGUUGUGUGUACUUUCAUGUGAAAAUUUAAGUUCAAGAGAGUAUGUAGUGGCUGGAGACACUAGGCUGCCAUGGAAAUUGGGAUUUAUAUUAUUGACAUGGUGGCAACAUGCCUUGGGAACUAGAUGGGUAGACAUUGUUGCCAGGCUCAGAGAGAAGCCAUUGGCAAUGUGAUAUGGGGUGGAACAGAGCGGGUGAGAGGCUUUGCUGACUGAGAUGAAGAUAUCUACCAGAUAUCUUGGGGCACUACGGUGCUGGAACUAGUGUGGGAUAAACGACAACAUUUUUUUUUGUAAUUUUACAGCAACAGUAUAUUUACUCCUUUGUUACUUUCCUUUUUCUUUGCUGGAUGUCGCCAUACCACAGUCAGAGUAAUAAUUUUCAACCUUAUGUCAAAUCAUAUUUCUUCAUUGAAAAUUAUUUACUAGAUUCUAUUUAUGAUCAUCAAGAAAACUGACUCCUACGUAUGUAAGCCAAGCACACCAAGCCUCUAUCUUGUGUACUGGGUGCUAUUUCACUUAACUGGACUUCUAUCUUUGAGUAUGUAUAUUAUUAAGAGUUCAGCUGCAAAAGUUUUUCUUUCCCUUUCCUUGGCAUUUGGAAUCAUCAAAGUGACUAUAUAGUUUUACAUUUUUCCAUAUGUUUAUACUAUUUAUCACCACAUACAAUUAUUUGACCUUGCCUUUAAAAUUAACUAUCUCCAUGUUAGAAUCAUUACAGCCCUUUAAAGAUGAUUUUUUAAAAAAAGUCUUUAGGUAUACUUUUGUUUGUAACUAAAAGAAUUCCUAACAUUAGGGAAUAUUUGGUGAAACAGUUUGGGAAAAUAUGACCCUUAACCCUGCCAAGAAUGAGGAGUUUCUAUAAUAGUCUAUUCUAUGACUCUUCAAUCUAAGUGAAGCCUCAUUGUUAUGUAACACAUUGGUAUUUAUCACACUUAGAAAUAGACACAAUGUAUUAGUUUCUGAGCAGAGAAUAUUUCUGCACAGCCUCUGGGUAAUUAGUUAAGGAGUAUUACCAUGGCAACUGGGAAAUAUGAUCUCCAUGAGGAACCUCAGGAAUUGCUAGACAACCAAGGGCAUCUUCCAAGACAACAAUGGUCACCUAUCCUCUUCACUCAAAUCAUAUAAAUUAAAUUUUUAAAACAGUCCAAUUUUUAAUUGUAGGCAUAUGUUCACCAAAAAUCAAUAGAAGGUACAGAGAUGUCCUACAUGCACCUACACAAUAAUUACACUUGGCCAAUAUCCUUCAUGAGAGUGCUGUAUUCCUUAGGACUGAUGAUCCAUUACUAUUGAAACCCAAGUUUUGUGGUUUACAUAAUGAAGUAAAUAGUUCCUGUAUAUCUUAUAAGGUUACACAUCGGUCUGCAAAACUCCUUUUUUUUUUCAGAUAAAGUAACACUGUUUCUAGGUGUGAUUGAAUUGUAGGGAAGCUUGUCAAUCAACUGCAGAUGUCAAGAAAAGGUAGCCACAAAGUUGGGAGCAGCACAGAGGUGUGAGGAAUUUUACUGUUCUUAUAUUCAAAUUGUUUUGAAAGCUACGUAUUUUAAGCUACCGCACAAAUUUAUGAAAUAAGUGAUACAUUAGUACAGACAACACACACAGCAUGUAGUAAAUCCUUGAAAAGUGGAAUGGUGAAGGGAAAAGUAACCAUAGGCUAGCAUUUUAUUUACAUAGUAAAGAUACAUAUUAGGAGUUCAACAACUGUAGUUCCCUCCCACCCCGUCUGUUUUAGGGGAUGUGACAUGUGUAUUUUACAGCCAAUAAUUGUAGCAGUUGUUUUUCUUGUUAUUAUGACAAAAUACUAGGAAUGAAGCAAAUGAGGGAUUAUUUCAUAUUAGAGUUUGAGGAGAAACUACAUACAAUGGCAGAAGAGGAUACUGAGGGGACUGACUGAUCCCAUUGCAGCAAUCAGGAAGAUGAUCAGACACACAUUAGUGCUUACUAUCUCCUCUCUGAUCAGUCUGAUACUCCAGUUCCAGAGAUGCUCCCAUUCCUAUGGGCAGUGGAUCCUCUGGAAACACCACCACUUGUCUCCUCUGGGAAUCUAAGUGCAGUCUAGUUAAGAAGCACGAUUAAGUGUCAUAGUACAAUCUGAACAAACAUUACACUAAACCAAACCUUAAUGAGCAGAAGAGAACCUUUCAGAGUCCCAUCCAAUUCAAUAGAAAACCCAGCUGUUUUCAGAUAGAAAGUAUUUGAGGCAAAUGUCUCAUAUACACGACAUGCUUAAAGGGCUGACAGCUCUCCUGCACACAAUAUACGCCUAGUGGUGUUCAGUAAAUAAGAAUGGCAUUGAAGAGAGCAUCUAUGCUUAGAAAUAAUGAGAACAUAGUAGAAAGUAAUUUGAUAUUUAUGUGGGUAAUUAUGGUCAUUUCAAGAUUACACAAAUCAGAUCAGCUUGAGUUACUCAUACAUAAUAUGAAUAAGUAUAUAUAUAUAUGUAUAUAUAUAUAUAUCUUAAAUUCUUAGGAUUUAUUUUAAAAACACACAUGCAAGCCAUUUAGAGAUAUAAACUGUAAAAGAAAACAAUAACAAAAACAUUUAUACAAUACUACUCAGAUACUAAGAAAGAGGAUAUCCUGAGUUUUGUAGGCAAGUAAAUGGAACUAGAAAAUAUUAUCCUGAGUGAGCUAACUCAGAUCCAAAAGGACAUGCAUGGUAUGUUCUCACUAAAAAGUGGAUAUUAGCUCAAAAAUGUACAGAAUACCAAGGAUAAAGUCCAUACAAAUCAAAAAGGUAAGUAAACUGAAGGGCCUUAAUUCCACUUGGGAGAGAAAAGAAAGCAAUCACAGGAGGGGGAAGGAGGGAGGGAGAGUCUUGGGUUGGAAAGAGGACAGGGAGAAGAGGGGAACAUGAUCAGGUAUUAGGUGGCAGAAAAGACCUGAAGCCCUGAAGGCCAGCACUAAGAAUGGAAACAGGCGACCUCAGGAGGUAGGGGGUGGGAUCCUCCAGAAUGUACCAGAGACCUGUGAGGUGAGAGACUCUCAGUACUCAAAGGGAGGGACCUUAGAUGAAAUGCCUUACAGUAGGGAAAGGGAAAUUGUAGAGCCAACUUCAGCAAAAAGAUAGGGCAUCAAGUGAGUGAUGGAGUUGCCACUGCCUCACUGUCAAAAACUCUGGCCCAUAAUUGUUCUUGUCUGAAAGAACUGCAGGGAAAAAAUGGAGAAGAUCCUGAAGGAAAGGAAGUCCAAUGACAGGCCCAGGGUCAGAAUGAGUUCAGGAGAAGCCCCAAGUCUUGACAUUACUACUGAGGCUGUGGAGGGCUUGCAAAAAGGAUCUAUCAUGACUGGCCUCCAAAGACCCAACAAGCAGCUGAAAGAGUUCGAUGCAGAUACACCUAACUAAUUAAUGGACAGAAGCUGCUGACCCCAGUGGUUGAAUUAGGGAAAAGCUGGAAGAAGUUGAGGAGGAGGGUAAACCUGUAGGUGGACCAGUAGUGUCAAUUAAUCUGGAUCCCUGAGAUCUCUCAGAUACUGCACCACAGACCAGGCAGCAUAAACCAGUUGAUAUGAGAGGCUCCUAAAAAUACACAGCAGAGGACUGCAGGGUCUGGGUUCAGUCAGAGAGGAUACACUUAACCCUCAAGAGACUGGAGUCCCUAGGGAGUAGAGAGGUCAAGUGGGGUUGGGGAUGUGUGGGAUGAGGUCAUCCUCUUGGAGAUUGGGUAGUGGCAGAGGGAGGAGGUAUGGGAUAUGGAACAGUCAGAAGGUGGACUGGGAGGAGGAUAAAAUUGGGAGUAUAAAUAAAAGUUAAAUAAA